Molecule: ribosomal RNA, 253 nt
Filed under: uncultured bacterium
Lineage: Bacteria
Description: partial 16S ribosomal RNA
Rfam family: Bacterial small subunit ribosomal RNA
Source: RNAcentral
UACGAAGGGGGCUAGCGUUGUUCGGAAUUACUGGGCGUAAAGGGCGCGUAGGCGGUGUGUCAAGUCAGGCGUGAAAGCCCCGGGCUCAACCUGGGAACCGCGCUUGAGACUGGCACGCUAGAGUUCGGGAGAGGAUGGUGGAAUUCCCAGUGUAGAGGUGAAAUGCGCAGAUAUCGGGAAGAACACCCAUGGCGAAGGCAGCUCUCUGGGACGGUACUGACGCUGAGACGCGAAAGCGUGGGGAGCGAACAGG